GUGCUCGCUUCAGCAGCACAUAUACUAAAAUUGGCAAGACACAGAGAGAUUAACGUGGCCCCUGAACAAGGAUUACACACAAAUUCAUGAAGUAUUUCGUAUUUUU
Small nuclear RNA from Camelus dromedarius (Arabian camel), 106 nucleotides. The record is from Ensembl. Lineage: Eukaryota; Metazoa; Chordata; Mammalia; Artiodactyla; Camelidae.